This 253-nucleotide ribosomal RNA is filed under the name uncultured bacterium. RNAcentral's name for it is "partial 16S ribosomal RNA". It matches the Rfam family "Bacterial small subunit ribosomal RNA", at positions 524 to 776 of the family's 1533-position model. The record is from RNAcentral.
AACGUAGGAGACAAACGUUAUCCGGAUUUACUGGGCGUAAAGGGCGUGUAGGUGGUUUAGUAAGUCUGGCGUGAAAUUUUUCGGCUUAACCGGGAAAGGUCGUCGGAUACUGCAAGACUAGAGGACGGUAGAGGCGUGUGGAAUUCCGGGUGUAGUGGUGAAAUGCGUAGAGAUCCGGAGGAACACCAGUGGCGAAGGCGACACGCUGGGCCGUACCUGACACUGAUGCGCGACAGCAUGGGGAGCAAACAGG